UGGGGAAUUUUGGACAAUGGGCGCAAGCCUGAUCCAGCCAUGCCGCGUGCGGGAAGAAGGCCUUCGGGUUGUAAACCGCUUUUGUCAGGGAAGAAAUCUUCUGAGUUAAUACCUCGGGAGGAUGACGGUACCUGAAGAAUAAGCACCGGCUAACUACGUGCCAGCAGCCGCGGUAAUACGUAGGGUGCAAGCGUUAAUCGGAAUACUGGGCGUAAAGCGUGCGCAGGCGGUUUUGUAAGACAGAGGUGAAAUCCCCGGGCUCAACCUGGGAACUGCCUUUGUGACUGCAAGGCUUGAGUGCGGCAGAGGGGGAUGGAAUUCCGCGUGUAGCAGUGAAAUGCGUAGAUAUGCGGAGGAACACCGAUGGCGAAGGCAAUCCCCUGGGCCUGCACUGACGCUCAUGCACGAAAGCGUGGGGAGCAAACAGGAUUAGAUACCCUGGUAGUCCACGCCCUAAAACGAUGUCAACUGGUUGUUGGGAAGGUUCCUUCUCAGUAACGUAGCUAACGCGUGAAGUUGGCCGCCUGGGGAGUACGGCCGCAAGGUUG
RNAcentral lists this ribosomal RNA (548 nucleotides) under uncultured bacterium. RNAcentral's name for it is "partial 16S ribosomal RNA". It matches the Rfam family "Bacterial small subunit ribosomal RNA", at positions 355 to 896 of the family's 1533-position model. The record is from RNAcentral.